UUGCUCACUUCGAAAGCACAUAUACUAAAAUUGGAAUGAAACAGAGAAGAUAAGCAUGGAUCCUGUGCAAGAAUGACACACAAAUGAAGCGUUCCAUAUUUAA
Small nuclear RNA from Nannospalax galili (Upper Galilee mountains blind mole rat), 103 nucleotides. NCBI's taxonomy places the organism in Eukaryota, Metazoa, Chordata, Mammalia, Rodentia, Spalacidae. The record is from Ensembl.